Molecule: small nuclear RNA, 162 nt
Organism: Phyllostomus discolor (pale spear-nosed bat)
Lineage: Eukaryota; Metazoa; Chordata; Mammalia; Chiroptera; Phyllostomidae
Product: U1 spliceosomal RNA
Exons: 1
Source: RefSeq, a predicted model, not a curated record
AUACUCACCUGGCAGGGCAGAUACCAUGAUCACAAAGGUAGUUUUCCCAGGGCGAGGCUCACCUAUCAUACUCUGGGUGUGCUGACCCCUGCAAUUUCCCCAGAUGUGGGAAACUCAACUGCAUAAUUUGUGAUUGUGGGGACUGAGUUCACGCUCUCCCCU